CAGAUGAAUUCAGACGCUGCGGCGGCUGCACGGGGCCUGCACCAGGUCGGGCAUAUGCAUUAUGGCCUCCAGCACAGCAUUGCAGAUUCCUGUUGAGUGAUCUCAGAAGCUGGACCCAAGAUGCGCACAGGGUCUGCUGCAUUAAUUAAUUAAUCUCAGUGGGAGCUCUCAGCCUUCAGCUUGUCCCUAAGCCAAUGCAGAAUGGCCUUGCUGGAAGUCUCAGUUAUGCUCAUUGGAAUUCAGUAUCAAGAACAAAGGACCUUCAACAAUGGAGGGAUGAAGAGGAACAGAAGAAGGGACAAAUGUGAGUACAGAGAGUUCCUUGCAGAUUCCAGACCACCAUCUGAUUCACAACAAAGGGACCCUUCCUGAGAGAUAGCGUGCAGUUACCCACCGCACAUGCACAAAACUGCAUGGCUCUGCCACGGAGGAUGAGAAAUAACACCAGUGAACCUAGCUUCCCACUUUGUAUCUCCUUGGAAGACAGACUGAACGCAAAGCCCCCUAGGAAAGUACAUAAAUUUCCAGGGUCCAUUUAUGCCAGAUAUAAAGUGACGGGCAACAAAGUCAGAGUGUGAGUCAUAUAAAAGAAAUUCAGUUUCAUUCUGCUCUACAAGGAUCACAUGGGGACAAAAAAUAUUUACUGUUUUUUUUUUUCAGUCUCUUUAAUCUACAAAAAAAAAUUAUAAAAAGAACUUGUUUGCAACUAAUACAUGUACAUACAUAAUGUUUUGGGAAAGAAAAUAUGAUGAAAUGGAAAGAAAAAUAAAGAAUCAGAAAUAGAAAAAUUUUUCCACAAAAGAAAAACUACACAUCUGGAAAUAAUUAACAAUGAAGCAGUAUGUGAAAAUGGUUACGAUGGAAGACAACACCUAAGCACAAGAGCCUAAUUAAAUGGAAUGGGAAGUAUCCACACAUUGUAAGAUGCCUAUGCUGUCAUUCAAAACUGAGGUGAUGGCUGGGGAGAUAGCUCAGCGAGCAAAGUACUUGCUACACAAAUGUGGGGAUCUGAGUUUGAAUCCCCAGGAUCCACAUAAAGUAGUAAUGCAUGCCCGUAUUCCCAGUGUCCUUAUGAUGAGAACCCCCGGUGGAGAAUCCCCGGAAGCCUGCAGGCCUGGACUUUUGCAUUCACAAUGGCAAAUACAGCUGCUUCAAAUCAUGGAAGGCAAGAACCGACACUUAGGGUCAUCCUCUGGCCUCAACAUGUUCCCUGUGCCUACUGUGACAUAUGCACAGCCACAUCCUUGCUCUGCCCCCUUGCACGCAACUGAAGUAGCAUUUUAGGUAAUUAUAUAUGCAGAAUUUUUAAGACAAGUCAAAAUGGAUCCCAGCUCAGCUGCUGCUCAGAACCUGCUGGAAGCUUUUUGCAAAGAGAAGGCAACAGAGGAGGAUGCCUGAGUAGAGUACUCCUGUGACAGCGAUGUGGAAGCUGACAUUCAUGAGUGACUUUUUUUUUUUUUCCUUCUGGAAUAGUUCAGCUCUUUUUGUUUGUUUGUUUGUU
Molecule: long non-coding RNA, 1501 nt
Organism: Meriones unguiculatus (Mongolian gerbil)
Lineage: Eukaryota; Metazoa; Chordata; Mammalia; Rodentia; Muridae
Exons: 5
Source: RefSeq, a predicted model, not a curated record